CCUCAAAUCAGGUAGGACUACCCGCUGAACUUAAGCAUAUCAAUAAGCGGAGGAAAAGAAACUAACGAGGAUUCCCCUAGUGACUGCGAGUGRAGCGGGAAGAGCUCAAAUUUAAAAUCUGGCAGUUUUGCUGUCCGAGUUGUAAUCUAGAGAAGUGUUUUCCGCGCUGGACCGUGUACAAGUCUCUUGGAAUGGAGCGUCGUAGAGGGUGACAAUCCCGUCUUUGACACGGACUGCCGGUGCUUUGGUGAUGCGCUCUCAAAGAGUCGAGUUGUUUGGGAAUGCAGCUCAAAAUGGGUGGUAAACUCCAUCUAAAGCUAAAUACAGGCGAGAGACUGAUAGCGAACAAGUACCGCGAGGGAAAGAUGAAAAGAACUUUGAAAAGAGAGUUAAACAGUACGUGAAAUUGUUGAAAGGGAAACGAUUCAAGUCAGCCGCGUUGGUCGGAAAUCAACCUCACACUCUUGUGAGGCUCACUUUCUGGUUGACGGGUCAGCAUCAAUUUUGACCGUCGGAUAAAGUCCUGGGGAAUGUGGCAUCUUUGGAUGUGUUAUAGCCCCUUGUCGCAUGCGAUGGUUGGGAUUGAGGAACGCAGCACGCCGUCAAGGUCGGGGCCUUCGGGCUCACGUACACGUGCUUUGGAUGCUGGCAUAAU
RNAcentral lists this ribosomal RNA (655 nucleotides) under uncultured Basidiomycota. RNAcentral's name for it is "LSU rRNA". It matches the Rfam family "Eukaryotic large subunit ribosomal RNA", at positions 1 to 635 of the family's 3401-position model. The record is from RNAcentral. Lineage: Eukaryota; Fungi; Basidiomycota.